Molecule: long non-coding RNA, 239 nt
Filed under: Bos taurus (domestic cattle)
Lineage: Eukaryota; Metazoa; Chordata; Mammalia; Artiodactyla; Bovidae
Description: long non-coding RNA NONBTAT020369
Source: RNAcentral
GUCUUUUUACAGUUAGCCUGUUUGGUUCAUCAGCUGUCGCAUCUCAGCUAGAGCACCUCUGUCACCUCUUCUUUUUCCCACAACUGCUCCAGUUUCAGAAGAAAAUGGCGCAAUGACUUGGGUCAGUUGAGUUGUGUUUUGCACGAGUUUUGAGGAAGGAACGUUCAACGGUCACUGUCUCGGUGGUAUACCUAGGAGAUGUGGAAAUUGAAGAGAUCCAGACAGAAGGAAUAAAUAGU